RNAcentral lists this long non-coding RNA (522 nucleotides) under Oryctolagus cuniculus (rabbit). Its description in RNAcentral is "lncRNA (ENSOCUG00000030852.1)". The record is from RNAcentral. Lineage: Eukaryota; Metazoa; Chordata; Mammalia; Lagomorpha; Leporidae.
AUGGAGUUUGAGAGACAGCUAAGAUCAUGCAUGUACCCAAAACUAACAGAAGUAGAGCUUUCAACUCUUCCUUCCCACCCCAUGUCCAGAAGCCUGAGAGAAGAAAUGGAAACAGAAGACCACAUGGAGAAGAGUAGUAAUGUCUCAUUGAGAGUACAGCCAGCUCUGGGUAACCCCACCAGCAAGAAGCCAAGAAGUGUGUACCUUCAAUCCAGGCUUCUGUGGACUCUGACUCUCAUUAUGGGCCUCUUGGCACAGGUUAACUCACAGACUGAUGUCCGAGGAUACUUAAGUUUUGUUUUAAGAAGCAAUGCUGGGGGCCAGUGCUGUGGUGUAGCAGGUGAAGUUACCGCCUGCAGUGCUAGCAUCCCUUAUGGGCACCAGUUCAAGUCCAGGCUACUCCACUUCCCAUCCAACUCUCUGCUAUGGCCUGAGAAAACAGUAGAAGAGGGCCCAAAUCCUUGGGCCCCUGCACCCAUGUGGGAGAUUCAGAAGAGGCUCCUAGCUCCUGUUUUUGGAUAG